RNAcentral lists this ribosomal RNA (497 nucleotides) under uncultured bacterium. RNAcentral describes it as "partial 16S ribosomal RNA". It matches the Rfam family "Bacterial small subunit ribosomal RNA", at positions 28 to 507 of the family's 1533-position model. The record is from RNAcentral.
GAUGAACGCUGGCGGCGUGCCUAAUACAUGCAAGUCGAGCGAACGGACGAGAAGCUUGCUUCUCUGAUUUUAGCGGCGGACGGGUGAGUAACACGUGGAUAACCUACCUAUAAGACUGGGAUAACUUCGGGAAACCGGAGCUAAUACCGGAUAAUAUUUUGAACCGCAUGGUUCAAAAGUGAAAGACGGUCUUUCUGUCACUUAUAGAUGGAUCCGCGCUGCAUUAGCUAGUUGGUAAGGUAACGGCUUACCAAGGCAACGAUGCAUAGCCGACCUGAGAGGGUGAACGGCCACACGGGAUCUGAGGAAGGGUCCAGACUCCGGCGGGAGGAAGCAGUAGAGAAUCCUACGCGAUGGGCGAGAGCCGGACAGAGCAAAGCCGCGGAAGGGAUGAAGGUCUUAGGAUCGGAGAACGAUGAAAGUAGGGGAGAACAUAUGUGUAAGUAACUGUGAAGAUAUUGACGGUACCGAAUCAGAAAGCCACGGCUAACUACGUG